GACGAACGCUGGCGGCGUGCUUAACACAUGCAAGUCGAACGGAAAGGCCCUGCUUUUGUGGGGUGCUCGAGUGGCGAACGGGUGAGUAACACGUGAGUAACCUGCCCUUGACUUUGGGAUAACUUCAGGAAACUGGGGCUAAUACCGGAUAGGAGCUCCUGCUGCAUGGUGGGGGUUGGAAAGUUUCGGCGGUUGGGGAUGGACUCGCGGCUUAUCAGCUUGUUGGUGGGGUAGUGGUUUACCAAGGCUUUGACGGGUAGCCGGCCUGAGAGGGUGACCGGCCACAUUGGGACUGAGGUACGGCCCAGACUCCUACGGGGGGCAGCAGUGGGGAAUAUUGCACAAUGGGCGGAAGCCUGAUGCAGCAACGCCGCGUGCGGGAUGACGGCCUUCGGGUUGUAAACCGCUUUCGCCUGUGACGAAGCGUGAGUGACGGUAAUGGGUAAAGAAGCACCGGCUAACUACGUG
Molecule: ribosomal RNA, 468 nt
Filed under: uncultured bacterium
Lineage: Bacteria
Description: partial 16S ribosomal RNA
Rfam family: Bacterial small subunit ribosomal RNA
Source: RNAcentral